GGGGUGGUGGAGAAUACCGAGGGGCGCGAGGUAACUCUCUCUAAGGAACUCGGCAAAAUGGCCCCGUAACUUCGGGAGAAGGGGUGCCAGCGAGAGCUGGUCGCAGUGAAGAGGCCCAGGCGACUGUUUACCAAAAACACAGGUCUCCGCUAAGUCGCAAGACGAUGUAUGGGGGCUGACGCCUGCCCAGUGCCGGAAGGUUAAGGAAGCUGGUCAGCGCAAGCGAAGCUAGCGACUGAAGCCCCGGUGAACGGCGGCCGUAACUAUAACGGUCCUAAGGUAGCGAAAUUCCUUGUCGGGUAAGUUCCGACCCGCACGAAAGGCGUAACGAUCUGGGCGCUGUCUCGGAGAGAGGCUCGGCGAAAUAGAAUUGUCUGUGAAGAUGCGGACUACGUGCACCCGGACAGAAAGACCCUAUGAAGCUUUACUGUAGCUUGGUAUUGUGCUCGGGCUCGGAAUGCGCAGGAUAGGUGGGAGGCUUGGAUCCAUUGCUUGCGGGUGAUGGUGAGCCACUGGUGAGAUACCACUCUUUCCGAGCUAGAGUUCUAACCCUCGCCCGUUAUCCGGGGAGGGGACAGUAUCAGGUGGGCAGUUUGACUGGGGCGGUCGCCUCCUAAAAGGUAGCGGAGGCGUGCAAAGGUUCCCUCAGGCUGGUUGGAAAUCAGCCGACGAGUGCAAAGGCAGAAGGGAGCUUGACUGUGAGACCUACAAGUCGAACAGGGACGAAAGUCGGCCUUAGUGAUCCGACGGUUCUGCGUGGAAGGGCCGUCGCUCAACGGAUAAAAGUUACUCUAGGAUAACAGGCUGAUCUCCCCCAAGAGUUCACAUCGACGGGGAGGUUUGGCACCUCGAUGUCGGCUCAUCGCAACCUGGGGCUGAAGUCGGUCCCAAGGGUUGGGCUGUUCGCCCAUUAAAGCGGUACGCGAGCUGGGUUCAGAACGUCGUGAGACAGUUCGGUCCAUAUCCGGUGCACGCGCAGGAAUAUUGAGAGGAUUUCUCCCUAGUACGAGAGGACCGGGAGGAACGCACCUCUGGUGUGCCAGUUAUCGUGCCAACGGUAAACGCUGGGUAGCCAUGUGCGGAGAGGAUAACCGCUGAAAGCAUCUAAGUGGGAAGCCCACCUCAAGAUGAGUAUUCCAUGGCAAAAGCCAGUAAGGUCACGGGAAGAUUACCCGUUGAUAGGCUCUACGUGGAAGCGCAGCAAUGCGUGAAGCGGAGGAGUACUAAUAGACCGAGGGCCUGAC
RNAcentral lists this ribosomal RNA (1244 nucleotides) under metagenome. Its description in RNAcentral is "bacterial LSU rRNA". It matches the Rfam family "Bacterial large subunit ribosomal RNA", at positions 1665 to 2925 of the family's 2925-position model. The record is from RNAcentral.